CCCCAAAGCACAACCGAUCCCGAACUCCCUCAAGGGGAUUUCAAUGGCAGGGUCCAGUUAAGAAACAACAUCUAUCUCCGUCCAAAAAAUUUAUCAAUUAUACUCCCCUCAAUGUUCCCCGGACAUAGGUCCUUAUGGAGGUGCAUGGCCAGAUCUCUCAACCUUAAAGAAUGACGGGGAACCCAAUGCGCCAAAAUCCAAAUAAGUUCUGUCUUUAUCAUCGUGACCACGACCACGACAACGAAGAUCGUGCCCAGCUUUAGGAUUAGAUUGAAGAGCUUAUUUACCGUGGAUGUCUGGAUUGAUUUAUCAGACACCAUCUCGAA
RNAcentral lists this long non-coding RNA (326 nucleotides) under Elaeis guineensis (African oil palm). Its description in RNAcentral is "long non-coding RNA (EGUI_LNC019310)". Lineage: Eukaryota; Viridiplantae; Streptophyta; Magnoliopsida; Arecales; Arecaceae. The record is from RNAcentral.